This 618-nucleotide long non-coding RNA is filed under the name Lepidothrix coronata (blue-crowned manakin). Its description in RNAcentral is "lncRNA (ENSLCOG00000011748.1)". Lineage: Eukaryota; Metazoa; Chordata; Aves; Passeriformes; Pipridae. The record is from RNAcentral.
AGCUGAGAGGUUUCUGAGGGCUGAGCUGCUGAGCUGAAUGGGAAGAGAGCAAGACAGACAUCAGCCCCUCACCUCGCACUGCCACUUUGUCUGCCAUUGACACAGCAGAAGGUUUUCUCUGGCAGGGAUGUGUGACUACUAUGUGAGCUUGCCUGCUGCAGCAAAGGAAGGGCAUUUAACCACCCAGCUGGUGAAGUCCUACAUGGCAAACACCUGUAUCUGGAACAGUCAUUUCAAAGAGUGCAGCAGUCAUUUGCAAAACUUCAGCAAAGGAGAUUUGUUGAAAAACGGGCCCUGUUGGCAGGUAAUGAAUGCAAAAUCAUUUUAAUGGGGGAACCCCUGGGAAUGGGAGCAAAAGUUUUGAGCAUUUACAAUUUUACAAUGACGUGUGACCAGCUGUUGGAUAAAAUGGGCCUCCAGCAGUGGAGCUCACUGGAAUGAGAACGUUUGUGUGGAUAUUUUCAACUCAGCAGCUCUGCUAAAGAAGGAAACUGGAUCAUCCAAACAACAAAAGAACAGGUCUGGACAGGGAAACAUCACGAGGACAUACAGCACUUGUUAAACCCACUGCACAAGGAGAACUCCAUCUCCACUUUGAGGGCCAGGAACUGUUGAGGC